GCAGCCGCGGUAAUACGUAGGUGGCGAGCGUUAUCCGGAUUUAUUGGGCGUAAAGCGUCCGCAGCCGGUUUUAUAAGUCUAGAAUAAAAGCCCGGGGCUCAACCCCGGUUCGUUCUAGAAACUGUAAGACUCGAGUGUGGUAGAGGCAAAUGGAAUUUCUAGUGUAGCGGUAAAAUGCGUAGAUAUUAGAAGGAACACCAGUGGCGAAGGCGAUUUGCUGGGCCAUCACUGACGGUCAGGGACGAAAGCGUGGGGAGCAAAUAGGAUUAGAUACCCC
This 277-nucleotide ribosomal RNA is filed under the name uncultured Erysipelotrichaceae bacterium. RNAcentral describes it as "partial 16S ribosomal RNA". It matches the Rfam family "Bacterial small subunit ribosomal RNA", at positions 511 to 788 of the family's 1533-position model. Lineage: Bacteria; Bacillati; Bacillota; Erysipelotrichia; Erysipelotrichales; Erysipelotrichaceae. The record is from RNAcentral.